GCCAGGGUAGCGCAGUUGGUAAAGCAUGAGACUCCUAAUCUCGAGGUCAUGGGUUCGAACCCCAUGUUGGGCA
Podarcis muralis (Common wall lizard) is the source of this 73-nucleotide non-coding RNA. Lineage: Eukaryota; Metazoa; Chordata; Lepidosauria; Squamata; Lacertidae. The record is from the annotation of a RefSeq genome assembly.